Molecule: long non-coding RNA, 884 nt
Organism: Phyllostomus hastatus (greater spear-nosed bat)
Lineage: Eukaryota; Metazoa; Chordata; Mammalia; Chiroptera; Phyllostomidae
Exons: 3
Source: RefSeq, a predicted model, not a curated record
GCUGGUCCGUGCGCAAGGCUGAGGUCUGCCCGGCUCCUCUGGCGCCCAAACCAGGAGCGAGAGCGCGGGCCCGCGGCCGGACGCGGAGGCUGGGACCGGCAGGUUGCUGGGGCUGCGCUGCGCCUGCCCUCCACCCGGGGCCCCAGAGCGAGAGGCAGCCCCGCGCUCCCUCCCGGACCGCUGGAGACAGAUAUGCAAGAUGGCAGAGGAGGGGGAAAGCCAAUAGAAAAGGGAUAUUGCACCUACUUGUGGCCAGUUUCCUUGCCCUGCCUUUGGAUCUCAUGCUGUGCCCAGUCCUGCAGCCGCUGGAAAUUUUCUAUACCGUCCAUACCAAGAAGGCGGGGCUGGGGAGGACUUUUUAAAUCUUUCCCGUACUAAACAACUAGAAGGACUGGACUCUCGACGAACGAUCCAGGAGAAAGUGAGAUUCAUCCUGAACUCCGGGAAAUCUGAUGCUGCCGCUGCUACUGCUACCGGAGCUAUUGCGGCUUCUGCUUUCAGAGUUGAAAGCAGAAUAAAUGUUUCUUUCUCGAUUUUAGGUCCAGGCAAGCUCGGGCAUUUGAUAUCCAAGACCUCCUGCCUUCCCUGAGGUCGGCUGUCACCUUCCGGCCUCCCCCACCGCUGCCCCCCGUCGCCUCCCGCUGCAGCUCAGCCUGCCUGCCAUUUUCACUCAUUCGCUUAAACCCACAACCUCCGGGGUCGUAAGAAGAAGGAGGUGGGGAAAUCCAUCCCCCACCCUUGAAAAUUACAUUGUUGAAAUUUGCUUUUAUUACAGGAUUUACCAAGGAAGUGUGGAGCAGAAGUGUUCAAGGUAGACUCAAUUCCAACUACGUAUAGAUUUUCUCUUGGUACAAUCUCCUUGCAUUAAAGAGUUUUGUCCAAUA